UUAUUAUUGCUUGUCACGCGGUGUUCUUUGAAAGCUUGCUCAUAUAUUAUCUGUUCCAUUUUUUUUCCAUUCUCCCUUUUUUUGCAUGCCGUUCCUCCUGUUUCUUCCCUUCCUCCAAUCCUCUGUUCCUGUCUGUAGACACCACGGCGACGACAGAACCAGCAGUUCACGGUUGGUACCACAUUACUGUUUAUCUACUUUCUCAGCGCUGCUGAGAGGCAAGGCAAGCCUGGGGAAAAGAAAUGCAGUCUUCAAGGGAACUCAUGCUUCAAAUAGACUGAUCUCAUGAAUGCACUCUAGUUUUUUUAACGCUUGACAUUACGCUGAGUCUUGUCAUUUCUGUUGUGAGUUCAGUGGCCAGUGGUUGCAGUCUGAGAUGAGCCCUCCCCUCUGGUGGCAAACGGGGCAAGAUGUCCAUCCCAUGUUCCUCUGAUAUAUAAAACUCCACCACACCUUGGAAUAAAGGAGCCUUCAAAAAUGUUUUAAUUAAAAAUGUAAAGUGUAUUUGUCUACAGAGCUAGGAGCUGUAGGCCAGAGUGUUCCAGGACUCACCAGCUUUUACCUCAGGAUUUUGGAAGGGAGUUCUUCGUCCCUCAGUGCUUGAGGCAGAGGAUCCAGGAGGAAAAUCUCUAGUUUGACCCCUGACGUGGACAGAGAAAGCCUGCUAGUCUUCUCCAUAGAAGUCCUGACUUUUCUUACAUCCUGCUGGGAAUUUACCCACCCCACCUCCCCAGGCCCUCUGCUCACUGCCGCUCCCCAAGAAUGUUCCCCAUGCCCGUUUGAACAGCAUCAAGUAAGGUUUUAAGGAAGUCUUGGAUGUGUGCCACUUGGCAAGCCAAAUAGUAAAAAGAGCAUUAAGUUUCUUUUUAGCCAAAAGGUGAUUAAAAAACAGAGUGCAUACACUUCAGACAGGGACAUCAGGGCACUCUGCCUCCUUUCCCCUGUCACCGAAAUGGGGACAAGUCUGUCAACUUUUGUUUUUGUGUUUUAUUCAGUCAGAAAAUGAGAGUCCUUUUUCAUCAGUGUAUUAUUUUGCUCCUCAGCUCAAAUCUAACUUUGGCAAGACAAUACUUAGAGCAGAUAUUUUAGUUUAAAGGGGGAGUCAUAACUGAAUCCAAGGGAAUCAUUUGGUAAAGGGUCUGCAUCAAUCACUUUAUAUGCUGUGCAGAGUGAAAAGUCUGUUACUUCAGUGACAGGAGGUGAUCACAGCCAGCCUUGUAGUCAACUCAGUUGCUAGAAUAACAUCUGUCCCACACUGACUACCGUAGAUAACUAUGUCUGAGAACUUAUAAGUUAGGAAUUUGAAUAAAACCUGUUGGGCAGUGCUUGGUCAAGAUCAGCAGGGAACCCCUUCCCCCUUUCCUCUGCUCCCUUCCCCUCCUCCCCUCAUGCCUCUCUUGCAAAGUAACACAAGCUUAAGUAGGAGACCUAACCUACCCCCACUUCACUGCCCUUUCCUGCCAUUGGGACAAAGGGAAAUGUCCAUGCAGUAAGUUAGAGGGGCCAGGUACACUGGGCGGCCAUGAGAAAUCAGUUAGGUAUAGAAUGUGCAUCUCCAAAGUAGUGUCCAUUAGAGCUAACUAUAUCUCAGGCAGCAACUCCAUUAUACUUAGUUGUUGGUAUAGUGGCCCAUACCUUUAUCCUAGCACCUGGGAGGCAGAGUCAGAUGGAUCUCUGUGAGUUCAAGGCCAGUGUGGUCUACAGAGGAGCCCUGUCUCAGGAUUGGGGGGUGGGGGGUGGGGGGCGUACUUUAGUUGUUUGUUUUACCUAUAGUUGAGUACCUCCUGACUCUUAUCGAUUAUCCUCUGAUCUUUAAGUUGGUUUCAGUGUAGUUCAAGAGAUUUUGUUUUAUUCUUUCUAAAGUACUCUUAAGUUUUGGGCUUUCUAUAAUUAGCUCCAGGGUCAAGUGCAUUCCCAACAUUCCCAAAUUCUCUGGGCUCUUUAAAGAAAUAGUGACCAUUUCUUCCCUAAAGCCCCAAAGUUCUAUGUUUUAGUUCCUCGAGAAAAAAAGAAGCACACGCCCUUGUAGGCUCAUCCUUAAGCUCCCGGACAGGGCGAGCAAACUAGAGACCUUGUCCUCUCGUCUAAAGUAUUGAGGCAUCAACUAAAAGCCAAUUCUGAUUUGGGGCAACUCAUGUUAAUUACGACUGUCUCUUUAGAAAGAGAACAAAGGAGAGAGGAGUCUCUGGACACAUGGAUUGGCAUGAUUCUAUAGCACACUGACCGCAGGACAUAGGGUUGGCUGUGCCAUGAGAAGCAGCCGCUGUCAUUCUAUCUGGAAACAGCAUCAAGCUGGGUGUAAAGGGUGAGACCAACUGGUAUGAGAUGUUUGUGGGAGAAAGUAGCAAGGCCAUCUUCCCUGUGCCCUGUAUUCCUCGUGCCUUCAGUUGGCCUGCUUAGCAGCAAACAAGUAGGUAAUCCGAGCUGGUCCCUGUAUAAUGUAUUUAUAAAUGCAUUCCUCAACUUGUCUCUGAUCCUCAUAGCUUCUCCUCAAAGGGUCUCCCACUGUUUUAACCAGCUGACUCUCAAGCCCACAGCCAAAAGCUCUAACAAGAACUAAGAUAAUGCCUGGAAUUUAACUUGAUGAAAAGGGAAGACAUUUCUGAGUCAGUUGUAAAGGGUAACAAUGUGGUGAGAGCUACAGACCAAGGCAGCAGAGCAACAAGGCCAUUAUAUGAUAUCGUCAAUUUUAGCCUAGUGCUAGAGGCUCAGCUCUUCAGUACAGCAACCGCAUGACAGAUUCACUUGAUGACCUCAAGAUGGUCCUAACAGUGACUUGUCCCAGGGGGGGGCGGGAGGGGGAACAAGUUAAGUGGCUUGAUAACUCAGCAACUUAAAUGACAAGACAUCCUAAGUCAGCCAGCUGUGACCAUCUUAGUGGUCUCAAAAGUGUUAUACUGGGUUUUCCAGAUGGCUGUUUUCUUUGAUUU
RNAcentral lists this long non-coding RNA (2930 nucleotides) under Mus musculus (house mouse). Its description in RNAcentral is "long non-coding RNA chr9:47829238-47832168". The record is from RNAcentral. Lineage: Eukaryota; Metazoa; Chordata; Mammalia; Rodentia; Muridae.